AGUGAACGCUGGCGGCGUGCCUAAUACAUGCAAGUCGAACGGAGUGGCGCAAGGGUGAGUAAUGUAUAGCUCAUCUGCCCUAAACUAGAGGACAACAGGUUGGAAAGACUGCUAAUAAUAUAUAGGGUAGGAUGAGGCUAUAUUGUAUUAGCGAGUUGGUGAGGUAAUGGCUCACCAGGGCUAUGACGCAUAACUGGUCUGGUAGGAUGGGCAGUCACACUGGAAGGGAGACACGGUCAAGGCACCUACGGGAGGCAGCAUUAGGGAAUAUUGCUCAAUGGGGGAAACCCUGAAGCAGCUACGCAGCGUGGAGGAUGACACUUUUCGUAGCGUAAACACCUUUUGUUAGGGAAGCGGUAUCUAACCAAUAAGCACCGGCUAACUCCGUGCCAGCAGCCGCGGUAAUAC
Molecule: ribosomal RNA, 408 nt
Filed under: uncultured bacterium
Lineage: Bacteria
Description: partial 16S ribosomal RNA
Rfam family: Bacterial small subunit ribosomal RNA
Source: RNAcentral